AACGAACGCUGGCGGCAUGCCUAACACAUGCAAGUCGAACGAGACCUUCGGGUCUAGUGGCGCACGGGUGCGUGACGCGUGGGAACCUGCCCUUAGGUUCGGAAUAACUCCCCGAAAGGGGUGCUAAUACCGGAUAAUGUCUUCGGACCAAAGAUUUAUCGCCUUUGGAUGGGCCCGCGUUGGAUUAGCUAGUUGGUAGGGUAAAAGCCUACCAAGGCGACGAUCCAUAGCUGGUCUGAGAGGAUGAUCAGCCACACUGGGACUGAGACACGGCCCAGACUCCUACGGGAGGCAGCAGUGGGGAAUAUUGGGCAAUGGGCGAAAGCCUGAUCCAGCAAUGCCGCGUGAGUGAUGAAGGCCUUAGGGUUGUAAAGCUCUUUUACCCGGGAUGAUAAUGACAGUACCGGGAGAAUAAGCUCCGGCUAACUCCGUG
RNAcentral lists this ribosomal RNA (433 nucleotides) under uncultured bacterium. RNAcentral describes it as "partial 16S ribosomal RNA". It matches the Rfam family "Bacterial small subunit ribosomal RNA", at positions 29 to 507 of the family's 1533-position model. The record is from RNAcentral.